CUAGUUGAACCCAUUUGAUAGAGCCCCUUUGUUUACAAUAGAUUCUCUACUUAUCUAAAAGCUCUAGUAGGUGUUUCUCUAGGAUUUUAUGAAAGUUCCAUUCAGGUAGACGCAGGUCUCUAUACUUUGACAUUACUUCCAGUAGCAGCAAAGUGUUUUUGACAUUAGAUAUUACUGUCUUUAGACUCUGAAGUGAUCUCUGCCAUUCUCUUAGAUUUUUCCUCAGGCUUUUCAGCUUGGCCGAGAAGAGUUUAGCUGCAUCGAUUUGAACUUGGGGGG
RNAcentral lists this long non-coding RNA (279 nucleotides) under Sorghum bicolor (sorghum). Its description in RNAcentral is "long non-coding RNA (SBIC_LNC004275)". Lineage: Eukaryota; Viridiplantae; Streptophyta; Magnoliopsida; Poales; Poaceae. The record is from RNAcentral.